ACCACAGUCGCUGAAUGUUAUGGUGGUGUCUGUGCACGCAGUAAACAACUAGGGAAGGAUAUCCAGCCAAAUUAUAAUUAAAGAUGGCCGACGUACUUACGACAUUAUUCGUGGCCAUGGCGAUUAUUUUGCAACAUCAAGUGACAGAUGCCAAAAACCGGUA
Priapulus caudatus is the source of this 163-nucleotide long non-coding RNA. RefSeq lists it as uncharacterized. The transcript is spliced from 3 exons. Lineage: Eukaryota; Metazoa; Priapulida; Priapulimorpha; Priapulimorphida; Priapulidae. The record is from RefSeq and is a predicted model, not a curated record.